This 497-nucleotide ribosomal RNA is filed under the name uncultured bacterium. RNAcentral's name for it is "partial 16S ribosomal RNA". It matches the Rfam family "Bacterial small subunit ribosomal RNA", at positions 28 to 507 of the family's 1533-position model. The record is from RNAcentral.
GAUGAACGCUGGCGGCGUGCCUAAUACAUGCAAGUCGAGCGAACAGACGAGGAGCUUGCUCCUCUGACGUUAGCGGCGGACGGGUGAGUAACACGUGGAUAACCUACCUAUAAGACUGGGAUAACUUCGGGAAACCGGAGCUAAUACCGGAUAAUAUAUUGAACCGCAUGGUUCAAUAGUGAAAGACGGUUUUGCUGUCACUUAUAGAUGGAUCCGCGCCGCAUUAGCUAGUUGGUAAGGUAACGGCUUACCAAGGCAACGAUGCGUAGCCGACCUGAGAGGGUGAUCGGCCACACUGGAAGUGAGACACGGUCCAGACUCCGACGGGAGGCAGCAGUAGGGAAUCUUCCGCAAUGGGCGAAAGCCUGACGGAGCAACGCCGCGUGAGUGAUGAAGGUCUUCGGAUCGUAAAACUCUGUUAUUAGGGAAGAACAAAUGUGUAAGUAACUAUGCACGUCUUGACGGUACCUAAUCAGAAAGCCACGGCUAACUACGUG